GGGACCCCAGGUCAGGCGGGACUACCCGCUGAAUUUAAGCAU
Molecule: ribosomal RNA, 42 nt
Filed under: Sempervivum montanum subsp. stiriacum
Lineage: Eukaryota; Viridiplantae; Streptophyta; Magnoliopsida; Saxifragales; Crassulaceae
Description: partial 26S ribosomal RNA
Source: RNAcentral